Molecule: microRNA precursor, 104 nt
Filed under: Podarcis lilfordi (Lilford's wall lizard)
Lineage: Eukaryota; Metazoa; Chordata; Lepidosauria; Squamata; Lacertidae
Source: RNAcentral
CAGCAUGGAAGGAAGGAAGGAAGGAAGGAAGGAAGGAGAAUCUGAAAAACCAGGGCUGAUUUCUAUCUCCUUCCUUCCUUCUUUCCUUCCUUCCUCUCUCUCUC